AGCCCCGGAGCCUUUUAGGGCUCUUCUUUAAACUUGCAUUUUAAUGUGAAACACCCCAGGACUG
Molecule: transfer RNA, 64 nt
Filed under: Anolis whitemani
Lineage: Eukaryota; Metazoa; Chordata; Lepidosauria; Squamata; Anolidae
Description: tRNA-Cys
Source: RNAcentral